GACGAACGCUGGCGGCGUGCUUAACACAUGCCAGUCGAACGAAGAAGCUCCAACUUUCUGGCGUGGAUCAGUGGCGAACAGGUGAGUAACACGUGAGCAACCUGCCCCUGACACUGGAAUAAGCGCUGGGAACGGCGUCUAAUACUGGAUACGAGAAGGGUCCGCAUGGGCAUUUUCUGUAAAGUUUUGCGUUUGGGGAUGGGCUCGAGGGCUAUCAGCUUGUUUGUGAGGUAUUGGCGGACCAAGGCUACGAAGGGUAGCCCGCCUGAGAGGGCUGCCGGCCACACUGGGCCUGAGACACGGACCAGACUCCUACGGGACGCAGCAGUGGGGAAUCUUGCACAAUGGGCGAAAGCCUGAUGCAGCGACGCCGCGUGAGGGAUGCCGGCCUUCGGGUUGUAAACCUCUUUCAGCAGGGAAGAAGCGAAAGUGACGGUACCUGCAGAAGAAGCACCGGCUAACUACGUG
This 468-nucleotide ribosomal RNA is filed under the name uncultured bacterium. RNAcentral describes it as "partial 16S ribosomal RNA". It matches the Rfam family "Bacterial small subunit ribosomal RNA", at positions 28 to 507 of the family's 1533-position model. The record is from RNAcentral.